GACGAACGCUGGCGGCGUGCUUAACACAUGCAAGUCGAACGCUGAAGCUUGGUGCUUGCACUGGGUGGAUGAGUGGCGAACGGGUGAGUAAUACGUGAGUAACCUGCCCUUGACUCUGGGAUAAGCCUGGGAAACUGGGUCUAAUACUGGAUACGACAUGCCACUGCAUGGUGGUGUGUGGAAAGGGUUUUACUGGUUUUGGAUGGGCUCACGGCCUAUCAGCUUGUUGGUGGGGUAAUGGCCUACCAAGGCGACGAUGGGUAGCCGGCCUGAGAGGGUGACCGGCCACACUGGGACUGAGACACGGCCCAGACUCCUACGGGAGGCAGCAGUGGGGAAUAUUGCACAAUGGGCGGAAGCCUGAUGCAGCGACGCCGCGUGAGGGAUGACGGCCUUCGGGUUGUAAACCUCUUUCAGCACGGAAGAAGCGAGAGUGACGGUACGUGCAGAAGAAGCGCCGGCUAACUACGUG
RNAcentral lists this ribosomal RNA (472 nucleotides) under uncultured bacterium. RNAcentral's name for it is "partial 16S ribosomal RNA". It matches the Rfam family "Bacterial small subunit ribosomal RNA", at positions 28 to 507 of the family's 1533-position model. The record is from RNAcentral.